GGACUACCCGGGUUUCUAAUCCUGUUUGCUCCCCUUGCUCUCGCGCCUCAGCGUCAGGUAUUAACUAGAAAACCGCUUUCGCCACAGGUGUUCUUCCACAUAUCUACGCAUUUCACCGCUACACGUGGAAUUCCGUUUUCUCCGUCAACCCUCCAGAAAGGCAGUUUCAAAUGCAGCACUGAAGUUGAGCUUCAGUAUUUCACAUCUGACUUGCCUUCCCGCCUACGCGCCCUUUACGCCCAAUCAUUCCGAUUAAUGCUUGCACUCUCCGUAUUACCGCGGCGGCUGGCAC
RNAcentral lists this ribosomal RNA (292 nucleotides) under uncultured bacterium. Its description in RNAcentral is "partial 16S ribosomal RNA". The record is from RNAcentral.